GUCCACGCCGUAAACGAUGUCGACUAGCCGUUGGGGUACUUGAGACCUUGGUGGCGCAGUUAACGCGAUAAGUCGACCGCCUGGGGAGUACGGCCGCAAGGUUAAAACUCAAAUGAAUUGACGGGGGCCCGCACAAGCGGUGGAGCAUGUGGUUUAAUUCGAUGCAACGCGAAGAACCUUACCAGGCCUUGACAUCCUUGGAAUCUUGCAGAGAUGCGAGAGUGCCUUCGGGAAUCAAGUGACAGGUGCUGCAUGGCU
RNAcentral lists this ribosomal RNA (258 nucleotides) under uncultured bacterium. RNAcentral describes it as "partial 16S ribosomal RNA". It matches the Rfam family "Bacterial small subunit ribosomal RNA", at positions 793 to 1050 of the family's 1533-position model. The record is from RNAcentral.